GAUGAACGCUGGCGGCGUGCCUAAUACAUGCAAGUCGAGCGAACAGAUAAGGAGCUUGCUCCUUUGACGUUAGCGGCGGACGGGUGAGUAACACGUGGGUAACCUACCUAUAAGACUGGGAUAACUUCGGGAAACCGGAGCUAAUACCGGAUAAUAUUUCGAACCGCAUGGUUCGAUAGUGAAAGAUGGUUUUGCUAUCACUUAUAGAUGGACCCGCGCCGUAUUAGCUAGUUGGUAAGGUAACGGCUUACCAAGGCGACGAUACGUAGCCGACCUGAGAGGGUGAUCGGCCACACUGGAACUGAGACACGGUCCAGACUCCUACGGGAGGCAGCAGUAGGGAAUCUUCCGCAAUGGGCGAAAGCCUGACGGAGCAACGCCGCGUGAGUGAUGAAGGUCUUCGGAUCGUAAAACUCUGUUAUUAGGGAAGAACAUACGUGUAAGUAACUGUGCACGUCUUGACGGUACCUAAUCAGAAAGCCACGGCUAACUGCGUG
This 497-nucleotide ribosomal RNA is filed under the name uncultured bacterium. RNAcentral describes it as "partial 16S ribosomal RNA". It matches the Rfam family "Bacterial small subunit ribosomal RNA", at positions 28 to 507 of the family's 1533-position model. The record is from RNAcentral.